RNAcentral lists this small nuclear RNA (106 nucleotides) under Neotoma lepida (desert woodrat). The record is from RNAcentral. Lineage: Eukaryota; Metazoa; Chordata; Mammalia; Rodentia; Cricetidae.
GUGCUCGCUUUGGCAGCAUAUAUCCUAAAAUUGGAAUGAUACAGAGAAAAUUAGCAUAGCACUGUGCAAGGAUGACACACAAAUUCAUGAAGUGUUCCCUAUUUAA